This 73-nucleotide transfer RNA is filed under the name Gonorynchus abbreviatus (bighead beaked sandfish). Its description in RNAcentral is "tRNA-Ile". It matches the Rfam family "tRNA". From Rfam's summary of the family: Transfer RNA (tRNA) molecules are approximately 80 nucleotides in length. The record is from RNAcentral. Lineage: Eukaryota; Metazoa; Chordata; Actinopteri; Gonorynchiformes; Gonorynchidae.
GGAACUGUGCCCGAGAGACCCAGGGAGUACUUUGAUAGGGUAUUUAACGGGGGUUAAAAUCCCCCCAGUUCUU